This 317-nucleotide ribosomal RNA is filed under the name uncultured bacterium. RNAcentral describes it as "bacterial SSU rRNA". It matches the Rfam family "Bacterial small subunit ribosomal RNA", at positions 28 to 334 of the family's 1533-position model. The record is from RNAcentral.
GAUGAACGCUAGCUACAGGCUUAACACAUGCAAGUCGAGGGGCAGCAUGGCCUAUCUUUCGGGAUGGGCCGAUGGCGACCGGCGCACGGGUGAGUAACGCGUAUCCAACCUUCCCUUUACUGGGGUCCAGCCCGUCGAAAGGCGGAUUAAUCCCCCAUGUUCUCCGUCCCGGACAUCUGUGUCGGAGCAAAGAUUUAUCGGUAAAGGAUGGGGAUGCGUCCGAUUAGCUUGUUGGCGGGGUAACGGCCCACCAAGGCAUCGAUCGGUAGGGGUUCUGAGAGGAAGGUCCCCCACACUGGAACUGAGACACGGUCCAG